RNAcentral lists this ribosomal RNA (393 nucleotides) under uncultured bacterium. RNAcentral's name for it is "partial 16S ribosomal RNA". It matches the Rfam family "Bacterial small subunit ribosomal RNA", at positions 523 to 918 of the family's 1533-position model. The record is from RNAcentral.
AUACGGAGGGUCCGAGCGUUAUCCGGAUUUAUUGGGUUUAAAGGGUGCGCAGGCGGGGGAUUAAGUCGGCGGUGAAAAUUUGCAGGUCCAAUGGAAAAGGGCCUUCGAAACUGGUUUUCGUGAGUGUAGAUGAAGGAGGCGGAAUUUGUGGUGUAGCGGUGAAAUGCAUAGAUAUCACGAGGAACUCCGAUUGCGCAGGCAGCUUACUAAACUACUACUGACGCUCAGGCACGAAGGCGUGGGGAUCAAACAGGAUUAGAUACCCUGGUAGUCCACGCAGUAAACGAUGAUUACUAGCUGUUUGCGAUACAAUGUAAGCGGCUGAACGAAAGCGUUAAGUAAUCCACCUGGGGAGUACGUUCGCAAGAUUAAAACUCAAAGGAAUUGACGGGG